Molecule: ribosomal RNA, 716 nt
Filed under: Bacillus sp. (in: firmicutes)
Lineage: Bacteria; Bacillati; Bacillota; Bacilli; Caryophanales; Bacillaceae
Also listed under: 1 other name
Description: bacterial SSU rRNA
Rfam family: Bacterial small subunit ribosomal RNA
Source: RNAcentral
UGCAGUCGAGCGGACAGAUGGGAGCUUGCUCCCUGAUGUUAGCGGCGGACGGGUGAGUAACACGUGGGUAACCUGCCUGUAAGACUGGGAUAACUCCGGGAAACCGGGGCUAAUACCGGAUGGUUGUUUGAACCGCAUGGUUCAAACAUAAAAGGUGGCUUCGGCUACCACUUACAGAUGGACCCGCGGCGCAUUAGCUAGUUGGUGAGGUAACGGCUCACCAAGGCAACGAUGCGUAGCCGACCUGAGAGGGUGAUCGGCCACACUGGGACUGAGACACGGCCCAGACUCCUACGGGAGGCAGCAGUAGGGAAUCUUCCGCAAUGGACGAAAGUCUGACGGAGCAACGCCGCGUGAGUGAUGAAGGUUUUCGGAUCGUAAAGCUCUGUUGUUAGGGAAGAACAAGUACCGUUCGAAUAGGGCGGUACCUUGACGGUACCUAACCAGAAAGCCACGGCUAACUACGUGCCAGCAGCCGCGGUAAUACGUAGGUGGCAAGCGUUGUCCGGAAUUAUUGGGCGUAAAGGGCUCGCAGGCGGUUUCUUAAGUCUGAUGUGAAAGCCCCCGGCUCAACCGGGGAGGGUCAUUGGAAACUGGGGAACUUGAGUGCAGAAGAGGAGAGUGGAAUUCCACGUGUAGCGGUGAAAUGCGUAGAGAUGUGGAGGAACACCAGUGGCGAAGGCGACUCUCUGGUCUGUAACUGACGCUGAGGAGCG